Molecule: ribosomal RNA, 497 nt
Filed under: uncultured bacterium
Lineage: Bacteria
Description: partial 16S ribosomal RNA
Rfam family: Bacterial small subunit ribosomal RNA
Source: RNAcentral
GAUGAACGCUGGCGGCGUGCCUAAUACAUGCAAGUCGAGCGAACAGACGAGGAGCUUGCUCCUCUGACGUUAGCGGCGGACGGGUGAGUAACACGUGGAUAACCUACCUAUAAGACUGGGAUAACUUCGGGAAACCGGAGCUAAUACCGGAUAAUAUAUUGAACCGCAUGGUUCAAUAGUGAAAGACGGUUUUGCUGUCACUUAUAGAUGGAUCCGCGCCGCAUUAGCUAGUUGGUAAGGUAACGGCUUACCAAGGCAACGAUGCGUAGCCGACCUGAGAGGGAGAUCGGCCAGAUGGGAACUGAGACACGGUCCAGACUCCUACGGGAGGCAGCAGUAGGGAAUCUUCCGCAAUGGGCGAAAGCCUGACGGAGCAACGCCGCGUGAGUGAUGAAGGUCUUCGGAUCGUAAAACUCUGUUAUUAGGGAAGAACAAAUGUGUAAGUAACUAUGCACGUCUUGACGGUACCUAAUCAGAAAGCCACGGCUAACUACGUG